RNAcentral lists this ribosomal RNA (460 nucleotides) under uncultured bacterium. RNAcentral describes it as "partial 16S ribosomal RNA". It matches the Rfam family "Bacterial small subunit ribosomal RNA", at positions 338 to 795 of the family's 1533-position model. The record is from RNAcentral.
CCUACGGGUGGCAGCAGUGAGGAAUAUUGGUCAAUGGGCGCGAGCCUGAACCAGCCAAGUAGCGUGAAGGAUGACUGCCCUACGGGUUGUAAACUUCUUUUAUAAAGGAAUAAAGUGAGGUACGUGUGCCUUUAUGUAUGUACUUUAUGAAUAAGGAUCGGCUAACUCCGUGCCAGCAGCCGCGGUAAUACGGAGGAUCCGAGCGUUAUCCGGAUUUAUUGGGUUUAAAGGGCGCGUAGAUGGGUUGUUAAGUUCGUUGUGAAAGUUUGCGGCUCAACCGUAAAAUUGCAAUUGAUACUGGCAGUCUUGAGUACAGUUGAGGUAGGCGGAAUUCGUGGUGUAGCGGUGAAAUGCUUAGAUAUCACGAAGAACUCCGAUUGCGAAGGCAGCUUACUAGACUGCCACUGACAUUGAUGCUCGAAAGUGUGGGUAUCAAACAGGAUUAGAUACCCGAGUAGUC